CUCAUUCCAAGUAAACGUGUUAAAUAUUAUACUAUAGAUCUCAAGGAAACAUUAAAUAUACAGUGCAUCAGAGAAUUCAAUAAGAAAAACGUUCAAAACACACGAACUCAUUCCCAACUCUCUUAUAGGAUUAUGGUCUAGGCUAUUCAAAUGCAUACAUAAAAAUGUUAUUUUACUUUUAUAAAUUAAAAUGUUUAUGAAGUUUUAUACAUUUCAGUCGAUUUUGGGCUAUGGAAUAUCUUCAAAUUAAUAAAUUUUUUAUGACAGCUAUCGGACAGUGGCCAUACAGAAGCCGUCAGUUAAAUCGAGUGAUAAAUAUUGUUGCCAUUGUUUCUGCUCUAUCAUUAUUUAUACCAAUUGAAAAUCUUUGUUUAACGAAGAAGGCAAAGGUGAAAUCUUUGUAGAGGUAGAAAAUUUAAUUUAAUCAGAAAAAGACGUUAAGAGUCUUCCAAAAAAUAAACCCGGAUAAUGGACAUAAUAGAGGAAAAAACGCAAAACGAAGAAGUUGAUCUGAAAAGAAAAAAAUUUGUGCUUUGCAAUACACUUUCUCAGUUAAGAGUCUCAGCUUUUAUAGUAUUCAAGACUGAUCUCAACUGUAAGAAAAAAAAUUAUCACCAUCUGGCGGCGUAAGAGUGUAACUAUGAUGAUCUACAUCUAUAUUGGAAUUUCCCAUAUAAUUCCCUACAUAAUUUCUCAUAUAAUUUCCGACUUGAUAUCUUAGAUGGACAAUUAAAACAG
Molecule: long non-coding RNA, 738 nt
Organism: Leptopilina boulardi
Lineage: Eukaryota; Metazoa; Arthropoda; Insecta; Hymenoptera; Figitidae
Exons: 4
Source: RefSeq, a predicted model, not a curated record